RNAcentral lists this ribosomal RNA (254 nucleotides) under uncultured bacterium. Its description in RNAcentral is "partial 16S ribosomal RNA". It matches the Rfam family "Bacterial small subunit ribosomal RNA", at positions 524 to 776 of the family's 1533-position model. The record is from RNAcentral.
UACGGAGGGUGCGAGCGUUGUCCGGAAUCAUUGGGCGUAAAGGGCGCGUAGGUGGCGGGACAAGCGUGCGGUGAAAGCUUGGGGCUCAACCCCGAGUCGGCCGUGCGAACUGUCUUGCUUGAGCACUGUAGAGGCAGGCGGAAUUCCGGGUGUAGCGGUGGAAUGCGUAGAUAUCGAGAGGAACACCUGCGGCGAAGGCGGGUUGCUGGGCUGAUACUGACGCUGACAGCGCGAAAGCUAGGGGAGCGAACGGG